RNAcentral lists this ribosomal RNA (500 nucleotides) under uncultured bacterium. Its description in RNAcentral is "partial 16S ribosomal RNA". It matches the Rfam family "Bacterial small subunit ribosomal RNA", at positions 30 to 523 of the family's 1533-position model. The record is from RNAcentral.
AUUGAACGCUGGCGGCAUGCUUUACACAUGCAAGUCGAACGGUAACAGGGUGCUUGCACCGCUGACGAGUGGCGAACGGGUGAGUAAUGCGUCGGAACGUGCCGAGUAGUGGGGGAUAACGCAUCGAAAGGUGUGCUAAUACCGCAUACGUACUGAGGUAGAAAGUGGGGGACCUUCGGGCCUCACGCUAUUCGAGCGGCCGACGUCUGAUUAGCUAGUUGGUGAGGUAAAGGCUCACCAAGGCGACGAUCAGUAGCGGGUCUGAGAGGAUGAUCCGCCACACUGGGACUGAGACACGGCCCAGACUCCUACGGGAGGCAGCAGUGGGGAAUUUUGGACAAUGGGCGCAAGCCUGAUCCAGCCAUGCCGCGUGUCUGAAGAAGGCCUUCGGGUUGUAAAGGACUUUUGUCCGGGAGCGAAUACCCAGUGCUAAUAACGCUGGGGGCUGAGAGUACCGGAAGAAUAAGCACCGGCUAACUACGUGCCAGCCGCCGCAGUAA